UCUGCUGGUCUCACAGGGAUGCUGUAAGACAAAGGCUUUUUUUGUCCUAGAAAAGAAGUUAUGGAAGCUCAUAAUGUCUCCUUAGCGAUACAGAUCAGUCUGCAGUGACCAUAAGGGAUUUUCAAGGUAUUCUGGAUGAAGUGCUUUGAAGCAGUGAGGGACACCCUGCCCUCAACCUCAAAACUCGGGUGGUUCAUGCAAGAGCAAUUGGUUCAUCUUUGAGGCAGUUCUUGUGCCCUGGGUUUUGGAAGCUCUUUUGGAGCAGUAUGGAUCGGGAUGGUGAGAAUGGGCAGCCCCUGUGCAGGAUGCCCCAGAUGUUGUUUGUGUCUCACGUGUUUGUUCAUGCACAAGGAAUUUCCAGAAGCAGCUUUCUGAGAGCCUGUGUCCCACAGCUGCCCUAUGGAUGUGGUUCAAGAACUGGCCCCUGUCACCCACGGCAGCUCCCACCACUGCUCCAGGUUUGGAACAGCCAUGAGGAUCCUGUCCCCUGAGGUCUUCACAUCACUGCUUCUCCCAUUUCAUGUUCCUGUGUGAUUCCAGGGCUUUGUGUGAUCUGCAGGAGAGCUUCUGCCAGCCCUGCAGGGGUUUGCUAAAGCAUGCAGUGACAGCAAGGCACCAACCCUUUGCAGGAGCAGCUCUAGCGAUGGAGAUGGAGUCAGCCCCAUGGGUGCAUGCAAGAGCAGCUCUUGUGAGGAUUUCUCUUCUAGUCAUUGCCAAAAAGCUUUUGCAACCAAACAGAAAACUUCACUGCUUUGAAGGGCAGAGGUUAAAGGUACUCAGAGUCGUCACGGAGCACAAAGGUGGAAUCAGAGUCAGCCACGAGUAAAAUACAGACUCCUGGGCCCACAGUGUAAGUGGUUCCUCACCACUAGUCACAUAACAGCUUUGUUUUCUUCUCUCACACUUCUACAGCAUAUUGCAUACGAGAUUCCACUAAAGAAAUGACAUGACACAGUAUCAGAGCUUUUUCUUUUUCCAUCUCAUAGCAAGAAUAUAUAAUAAUCUCUCUGGGAAGCACGUCUCAGGCUAUCUCCAGGAACAAUAGAUGCUUGUAAGGCAUCCAGUGAAGUCAGAAUAGCUGGAGGCUGUGAGUCACAUCACAACUUCUUGUGCUUGCAUAGCGUUUCGCUUGCAGACUGAUCUGAGCAGGAGACAGGAAAUAACCAGCUAUAUUUAUUUUUAAUUGGGUACUUCUCAAGUUGGUGUUUCCUUGAAAACCAGGACUUGCCUUUUUAAUUGUCACACUGGGAAAGGCAGGAUCAUGGCAUGCAAACAGGGGGGCGUCUGUGCAUGCUUUUGCUCUUCGGAGCAGACCAUGGGAGCAGAAGAGGAGUACUGGGAGUCUGGAGGAGGAUUUCCAUGACACUACAGCCACAGGCCCUCUGCCAAACUGCUGCUCCUGAGUAGUGCUCCAGUACAGCUUUAUGGACUUGUUAACACAGCAGAUUCAGCCUCUUGUUCGGCUUCUGUAAGCGAUGGUUUGCUCUUCUUUAUGGUCCCUCCGGCCUCCUCAGAGCACAGUGCUAAUGCUCCCUGCACAUCUGUUACCUGAGGGCUUUUAACCACUUGACCCAGCCACAACCCAGGCACUCCUCUUUCUGUUGGAGCUGCACCCUUCUCAGCCUUUGUGCUUGUUCUUGGUGUUGCCGUUGAAUCAUAGAACCAUAGAAUGGUUUGGGUUAGAAAGGACCAUGAGAUCAUCCAGUCCAACCCCUGCAAUGAGCAGGGACAUCUUCAACCAGGUCAGGUUGCCCAGAACCACAUCCAGCCUGGCCUGGGAUGUCUCCAGGGAUGGUUCAUCCACCGCCUCUCUGGGCAACCUGUGCCAGUGUUUUACCACCCUCAUUGUACAGAAUUCCUUCCUCACAUCCAGCCUGAAUCUCCCUCUUUUAGGUUAAAACCAUCACCCCUCGUCCUGUUGCAACAGGCUCUGCUAAAAAGUCUCUCCCCAUCUUUUUUAUAGGCCCCUUUUAAGAACUGAAAGGCCACAACAAGGUCUACCCAGAGCCUUCUCUUCUCCAGGUUGAACAACCCCAGCUCUGUCAUCCCGUCUCCAGAGCAGAGCUGUUCCAGCCCUCUGAUCGUUUUUGUGGCCUUUCUCUGGUCCCUCACCAACAAGUCCAUGUCUUUCCUUGGAGCUUCCAUAAAGCUUCUUCAAAGUGCUAUAGAGGGAAGACCAACGCCAUCAAGGCAGGUCCCAAGCAUUUGGAGGUUCUUUAGACUAUAACCCUUGUGGUCUUCGUGCCUACAGCUGGAUUAAUGCACAACUUUUUCCUCCCUGAGCAGGUGUGGCCUGACAUCUGCAGACCUGGCCUUGGUGGUUUUGGACUGUUUUUGAUGGCUAUAACUCCAAUUUGCCAUAGGUUUUGAACCGCACACAAACCACGCACGAUUUGGGAGCUGCAAUCCUCAACCACCACCAAGGAUGUGGAGCAUGAUAUCCUGAUGGAAAAAUUACACGUUCUUUGACCAACACAUGCUUAUUCAUGAAAUCCAUUGCUUCUGUUGUGUAGAAGUCAAGAUGAUGUUUGAUUGCCUUCUCCAUAGUAUGGGUGGUGACACGUCACCCGUGCCACAGAAGUCACUAAAAAUACCAUUCCUGCCACUAGGAUUCACCAUGAGGUAAUGCAUGUUUUCCAGGAGUUUUUGUUCAUGCUACACUUUAAUGUAUAAUGCAGGGUUUUUAUUCAUUAGAUAAUAGAUACUUCAGGUAAUGAAAAUUCAUUCUGUGUAGCAGAAAUACCAAGAAGUGGCUUCUUGUAACUGUUCAAGGGCUCAAAAGUGGAUACUUGUAUGCUUUCAUGUUUGAUUCUUGUUCCACAUCACUUCAGAAGCAUAAUUUUUGUUGACAGAAAAUUGGCCAGGCUUAAUAAAACAAGGUAUUUCUAUAUCA
This is a long non-coding RNA of Pezoporus occidentalis (night parrot), 2893 nucleotides long. RefSeq lists it as uncharacterized. The transcript is spliced from 2 exons. Lineage: Eukaryota; Metazoa; Chordata; Aves; Psittaciformes; Psittacidae. The record is from RefSeq and is a predicted model, not a curated record.